GGUUAAGCGACUAAGCGUACACGGUGGAUGCCCUGGCAGUCAGAGGCGAUGAAGGACGUGCUAAUCUGCGAUAAGCGUCGGUAAGGUGAUAUGAACCGUUAUAACCGGCGAUUUCCGAAUGGGGAAACCCAGUGUGUUUCGACACACUAUCAUUAACUGAAUCCAUAGGUUAAUGAGGCGAACCGGGGGAACUGAAACAUCUAAGUACCCCGAGGAAAAGAAAUCAACCGAGAUUCCCCCAGUAGCGGCGAGCGAACGGGGAGCAGCCCAGAGCCUGAAUCAGUGUGUGUGUUAGUGGAAGCGUCUGGAAAGGCGCGCGAUACAGGGUGACAGCCCCGUACACAAAAAUGCACAUGCUGUGAGCUCGAUGAGUAGGGCGGGACACGUGGUAUCCUGUCUGAAUAUGGGGGGACCAUCCUCCAAGGCUAAAUACUCCUGACUGACCGAUAGUGAACCAGUACCGUGAGGGAAAGGCGAAAAGAACCCCGGCGAGGGGAGUGAAAAAGAACCUGAAACCGUGUACGUACAAGCAGUGGGAGCACGCUUAGGCGUGUGACUGCGUACCUUUUGUAUAAUGGGUCAGCGACUUAUAUUCUGUAGCAAGGUUAACCGAAUAGGGGAGCCGAAGGGAAACCGAGUCUUAACUGGGCGUUAAGUUGCAGGGUAUAGACCCGAAACCCGGUGAUCUAGCCAUGGGCAGGUUGAAGGUUGGGUAACACUAACUGGAGGACCGAACCGACUAAUGUUGAAAAAUUAGCGGAUGACUUGUGGCUGGGGGUGAAAGGCCAAUCAAACCGGGAGAUAGCUGGUUCUCCCCGAAAGCUAUUUAGGUAGCGCCUCGUGAAUUCAUCUCCGGGGGUAGAGCACUGUUUCGGCAAGGGGGUCAUCCCGACUUACCAACCCGAUGCAAACUGCGAAUACCGGAGAAUGUUAUCACGGGAGACACACGGCGGGUGCUAACGUCCGUCGUGAAGAGGGAAACAACCCAGACCGCCAGCUAAGGUCCCAAAGUCAUGGUUAAGUGGGAAACGAUGUGGGAAGGCCCAGACAGCCAGGAUGUUGGCUUAGAAGCAGCCAUCAUUUAAAGAAAGCGUAAUAGCUCACUGGUCGAGUCGGCCUGCGCGGAAGAUGUAACGGGGCUAAACCAUGCACCGAAGCUGCGGCAGCGACGCUUAUGCGUUGUUGGGUAGGGGAGCGUUCUGUAAGCCUGUGAAGGUGUGCUGUGAGGCAUGCUGGAGGUAUCAGAAGUGCGAAUGCUGACAUAAGUAACGAUAAAGCGGGUGAAAAGCCCGCUCGCCGGAAGACCAAGGGUUCCUGUCCAACGUUAAUCGGGGCAGGGUGAGUCGACCCCUAAGGCGAGGCCGAAAGGCGUAGUCGAUGGGAAACAGGUUAAUAUUCCUGUACUUGGUGUUACUGCGAAGGGGGGACGGAGAAGGCUAUGUUGGCCGGGCGACGGUUGUCCCGGUUUAAGCGUGUAGG
Molecule: ribosomal RNA, 1479 nt
Filed under: Escherichia coli
Lineage: Bacteria; Pseudomonadati; Pseudomonadota; Gammaproteobacteria; Enterobacterales; Enterobacteriaceae
Description: partial 23S ribosomal RNA
Rfam family: Bacterial large subunit ribosomal RNA
Source: RNAcentral